CUAUAUUUUUACACGUAAGGCAUAUUAUUUGAAAGACUUCUGUCACAUCUAUAUUGUGUUGUAAACUUAUACUGAAACAAACCUAACAAUAUAAUCUUUUUUAGGAAUUGUUAAAUUACCCAACGUUUUUCGUGAUGUUUUAUACUAACAAUAUUAUUAAAGCUCAUAUCGCUUCUUCAAUUGCAUUUUUUUGCACAGUACAUUAUGGCCUAGUUCAAGUGCUGUGACUUUCGUCUGUAUUGAAGUAUGCGGUAGGGCGGCAAUGCUUUUAAUAGAUGAGAGACGGUCAGGUUUAAUCGAUUGUUUAACUUUUCUCAAAAUAUAGAUUUGCGAAUGUCGAUUGUUUCAAGUCUGUAAUGUGUCAUUGUUUCUAGAUAUUUUCGACGUAAACAUACAAAUUGUUUUCCAUUAAUUUGUCAGAUGUCGAUGACGUAAUGUAUUUUAAUCAUCUGCUAAUUGCUGAAGGCCCGUUUUACUACAUUUUACAAGUAGGGCAUAUUAUUUGAAAGACUUCUGUCACAUCUAACUUGUGUAGUA
This is a non-coding RNA of Cinara cedri, 537 nucleotides long. Lineage: Eukaryota; Metazoa; Arthropoda; Insecta; Hemiptera; Aphididae. The record is from the annotation of a GenBank genome assembly.